This 2236-nucleotide ribosomal RNA is filed under the name Salmonella enterica subsp. enterica serovar Virchow. Its description in RNAcentral is "partial 23S ribosomal RNA". It matches the Rfam family "Bacterial large subunit ribosomal RNA", at positions 582 to 2802 of the family's 2925-position model. Lineage: Bacteria; Pseudomonadati; Pseudomonadota; Gammaproteobacteria; Enterobacterales; Enterobacteriaceae. The record is from RNAcentral.
GGUUUACCUGUGUGACUGCGUACCUUUUGUAUAAUGGGUCAGCGACUUAUAUUCUGUAGCAAGGUUAACCGAAUAGGGGAGCCGGAGGGAAACCGAGUCUUAAUUGGGCGUUAAGUUGCAGGGUAUAGACCCGAAACCCGGUGAUCUAGCCAUGGGCAGGUUGAAGGUUGGGUAACACUAACUGGAGGACCGAACCGACUAAUGUUGAAAAAUUAGCGGAUGACCUGUGGCUGGGGGUGAAAGGCCAAUCAAACCGGGAGAUAGCUGGUUCUCCCCGAAAGCUAUUUAGGUAGCGCCUCGUGAAUUCAUCUCCGGGGGUAGAGCACUGUUUCGGCUAGGGGGCCAUCCCGGCUUACCAACCCGAUGCAAACUGCGAAUACCGGAGAAUGUUAUCACGGGAGACACACGGCGGGUGCUAACGUCCGUCGUGAAGAGGGAAACAACCCAGACCGCCAGCUAAGGUCCCAAAGUCAUGGUUAAGUGGGAAACGAUGUGGGAAGGCCCAGACAGCCAGGAUGUUGGCUUAGAAGCAGCCAUCAUUUAAAGAAAGCGUAAUAGCUCACUGGUCGAGUCGGCCUGCGCGGAAGAUGUAACGGGGCUAAACCAUGCACCGAAGCUGCGGCAGCGACACUGUGUGUUGUUGGGUAGGGGAGCGUUCUGUAAGCCUGUGAAGGUGGCCUGUGAGGGUUGCUGGAGGUAUCAGAAGUGCGAAUGCUGACAUAAGUAACGAUAAAGCGGGUGAAAAGCCCGCUCGCCGGAAGACCAAGGGUUCCUGUCCAACGUUAAUCGGGGCAGGGUGAGUCGACCCCUAAGGCGAGGCCGAAAGGCGUAGUCGAUGGGAAACGGGUUAAUAUUCCCGUACUUGGUGUUACUGCGAAGGGGGGACGGAGAAGGCUAUGUUGGCCGGGCGACGGUUGUCCCGGUUUAAGCGUGUAGGUGUGUGUUCCAGGUAAAUCCGGUUCACUUUAACACUGAGGCGUGACGACGAGGCACUACGGUGCUGAAGCAACAAAUGCCCUGCUUCCAGGAAAAGCCUCUAAGCAUCAGGUAACAUCAAAUCGUACCCCAAACCGACACAGGUGGUCAGGUAGAGAAUACCAAGGCGCUUGAGAGAACUCGGGUGAAGGAACUAGGCAAAAUGGUGCCGUAACUUCGGGAGAAGGCACGCUGACACGUAGGUGAAGUGAUUUACUCAUGGAGCUGAAGUCAGUCGAAGAUACCAGCUGGCUGCAACUGUUUAUUAAAAACACAGCACUGUGCAAACACGAAAGUGGACGUAUACGGUGUGACGCCUGCCCGGUGCCGGAAGGUUAAUUGAUGGGGUCAGCGCAAGCGAAGCUCCUGAUCGAAGCCCCGGUAAACGGCGGCCGUAACUAUAACGGUCCUAAGGUAGCGAAAUUCCUUGUCGGGUAAGUUCCGACCUGCACGAAUGGCGUAAUGAUGGCCAGGCUGUCUCCACCCGAGACUCAGUGAAAUUGAACUCGCUGUGAAGAUGCAGUGUACCCGCGGCAAGACGGAAAGACCCCGUGAACCUUUACUAUAGCUUGACACUGAACAUUGAGCCUUGAUGUGUAGGAUAGGUGGGAGGCUUUGAAGUGUGGACGCCAGUCUGCAUGGAGCCGACCUUGAAAUACCACCCUUUAAUGUUUGAUGUUCUAACGUGGACCCGUAAUCCGGGUUGCGGACAGUGUCUGGUGGGUAGUUUGACUGGGGCGGUCUCCUCCUAAAGAGUAACGGAGGAGCACGAAGGUUGGCUAAUCCUGGUCGGACAUCAGGAGGUUAGUGCAAUGGCAUAAGCCAGCUUGACUGCGAGCGUGACGGCGCGAGCAGGUGCGAAAGCAGGUCAUAGUGAUCCGGUGGUUCUGAAUGGAAGGGCCAUCGCUCAACGGAUAAAAGGUACUCCGGGGAUAACAGGCUGAUACCGCCCAAGAGUUCAUAUCGACGGCGGUGUUUGGCACCUCGAUGUCGGCUCAUCACAUCCUGGGGCUGAAGUAGGUCCCAAGGGUAUGGCUGUUCGCCAUUUAAAGUGGUACGCGAGCUGGGUUUAGAACGUCGUGAGACAGUUCGGUCCCUAUCUGCCGUGGGCGCUGGAGAACUGAGGGGGGCUGCUCCUAGUACGAGAGGACCGGAGUGGACGCAUCACUGGUGUUCGGGUUGUCAUGCCAAUGGCACUGCCCGGUAGCUAAAUGCGGAAGAGAUAAGUGCUGAAAGCAUCUAAGCACGAAACUUGCCCCGA